GGUCAAGUAGCGCAAUGGUAGCGUGUGGUCCUCCUACUCAAUUGAGGAAUUUCAAGACUGAGGUUGUGGGUUCGAGUCCCAUCUUGAUCG
Podospora anserina is the source of this 90-nucleotide transfer RNA. It matches the Rfam family "tRNA". From Rfam's summary of the family: Transfer RNA (tRNA) molecules are approximately 80 nucleotides in length. NCBI's taxonomy places the organism in Eukaryota, Fungi, Ascomycota, Sordariomycetes, Sordariales, Podosporaceae. The record is from Rfam.